RNAcentral lists this ribosomal RNA (305 nucleotides) under uncultured bacterium. Its description in RNAcentral is "bacterial SSU rRNA". It matches the Rfam family "Bacterial small subunit ribosomal RNA", at positions 335 to 655 of the family's 1533-position model. The record is from RNAcentral.
UAUCCUACGGGAGGCAGCAGUGGGGAAUAUUGGGCAAUGGACGCAAGUCUGACCCAGCAACGCCGCGUGAAGGAAGAAGGCUUUCGGGUUGUAAACUUCUUUUAAGGGGGAAGAGCAGAAGACGGUACCCCUUGAAUAAGCCACGGCUAACUACGUGCCAGCAGCCGCGGUAAUACAUAGGGGGCAAGCGUUAUCCGGAUUUAUUGGGUGUAAAGGGUGCGUAGACGGAGAAACAAGUUGGUUGUGAAAUCCCUCGGCUCAACUGAGGAACUGCAACCAAAACUAUUUCCCUUGAGUGUCGGAGA